GACGAACGCUGGCGGCGUGCUUAACACAUGCAAGUCGAACGAAGAGCGAUGGAAGCUUGCUUCUAUCAAUCUUAGUGGCGAACGGGUGAGUAACGCGUAAUCAACCUGCCCUUCAGAGGGGGACAACAGUUGGAAACGACUGCUAAUACCGCAUACGAUCCAAUCUCGGCAUCGGGACUGGAUGAAAGGUGGCCUCCAUUUAUAAGCUAUCACUGAAGGAGGGGAUUGCGUCUGAUUAGCUAGUUGGAGGGGUAACGGCCCACCAAGGCGAUGAUCAGUAGCCGGUCUGAGAGGAUGAACGGCCACAUUGGGACUGAGACACGGCCCAGACUCCUACGGGAGGCAGCAGGGGGGAAGCUUCCGCAAUGGACGAAAGUCUGACGGAGCAACGCCGCGUGAGUGAUGACGGCCUUCGGGUUGUAAAGCUCUGUUAAUCGGGACGAAUGGUUCUUGUGCGAAUAGUGCGAGGAUUUGACGGUACCGGAAUAGAAAGCCACGGCUAACUACGUG
This 510-nucleotide ribosomal RNA is filed under the name uncultured bacterium. RNAcentral's name for it is "partial 16S ribosomal RNA". It matches the Rfam family "Bacterial small subunit ribosomal RNA", at positions 28 to 507 of the family's 1533-position model. The record is from RNAcentral.